CAGCAGCAGCCGCGGGAAUACAGAGGGUGCGAGCGUUAAUCGGAUUUACUGGGCGUAAAGCGUGCGUAGGCGGCUUUUUAAGUCGGAUGUGAAAUCCCUGAGCUUAACUUAGGAAUUGCAUUCGAUACUGGGAAGCUAGAGUAUGGGAGAGGAUGGUAGAAUUCCAGGUGUAGCGGUGAAAUGCGUAGAGAUCUGGAGGAAUACCGAUGGCGAAGGCAGCCAUCUGGCCUAAUACUGACUCUGAGGUACGAAAGCAUGGGGAGCAAACAGGAUUAGAUACCCCCGUAGUCCCUGUCUCUUAUAC
Molecule: ribosomal RNA, 304 nt
Filed under: uncultured bacterium
Lineage: Bacteria
Description: partial 16S ribosomal RNA
Rfam family: Bacterial small subunit ribosomal RNA
Source: RNAcentral